This 86-nucleotide transfer RNA is filed under the name Lentinula detonsa. RNAcentral's name for it is "tRNA-Asp". It matches the Rfam family "tRNA". Rfam says of the family: Transfer RNA (tRNA) molecules are approximately 80 nucleotides in length. Their secondary structure includes four short double-helical elements and three loops (D, anti-codon, and T loops). Lineage: Eukaryota; Fungi; Basidiomycota; Agaricomycetes; Agaricales; Omphalotaceae. The record is from RNAcentral.
UCCCUGGUAGUAUAUCGGUUAGUACACGCGCCUGUCAUAUUAGUGCAUUACCGCGCGAAAGCUGGGUUCGACUCCCAGCCAGGGAG